UACGGAGGGGGCUAGCGUUGCUCGGAAUGACUGGGCGUAAAGGGCGCGUAGGCGGUUCGUACAGUCAGACGUGAAAUUCCUGGGCUCAACCUGGGGGCUGCGUUUGAUACGUGCGGACUUGAGUGCGGAAGAGGGUCGUGGAAUUCCCAGUGUAGAGGUGAAAUUCGUAGAUAUUGGGAAGAACACCGGUGGCGAAGGCGGCGACCUGGUCCGAUACUGACGCUGAGGCGCGAAAGCGUGGGGAGCAAACAGG
Molecule: ribosomal RNA, 253 nt
Filed under: uncultured bacterium
Lineage: Bacteria
Description: partial 16S ribosomal RNA
Rfam family: Bacterial small subunit ribosomal RNA
Source: RNAcentral